GAUGAACGCUGGCGGCGUGCCUAAAACAUGCAAGUCGAGCGGUAAGGCUCUGCACUUAGUGUUUGAUCGAAGUAAUUUAUUACUACAGUAGACCAAUUGGAACCUUGGCGGGUGAAGAGCGGAAUAGGAAGAUCGAAUUAUAAGUGUAGAGUACACGAGCGGCGGACGGGUGAGUAACACGUGGGAAUCUACCCCAAACUGAGGGAUAAGCACCGGAAACGGUGUCUAAUACCGCAUAUGGUCUUCGGAUUAAAGCUUCGGCGGUUUGGGAAGAGCCCGCGUAAGAUUAGCUAGUUGGUGAGGUAAAGGCUCACCAAGGCGACGAUCUUUAGCUGGUUUGAGAGGAUGAUCAGCCACACUGGAACUGAGACACGGUCCAGACUCCUACGGGAGGCAGCAGUUAGGAAUUUCCACAAUGGGCGCAAGCCUGAUGGAGCAACGCCGCGUGCAGGAUGAAGGUUUCGGAUUGUAAACUGCUUUAUGUGUGAAGAAUAUGACGGUAACACAUGAA
Molecule: ribosomal RNA, 511 nt
Filed under: uncultured bacterium
Lineage: Bacteria
Description: bacterial SSU rRNA
Rfam family: Bacterial small subunit ribosomal RNA
Source: RNAcentral